Cinara cedri is the source of this 397-nucleotide non-coding RNA. NCBI's taxonomy places the organism in Eukaryota, Metazoa, Arthropoda, Insecta, Hemiptera, Aphididae. The record is from the annotation of a GenBank genome assembly.
CCCACUCUUGUUUUUAUCAUGUUGAGGGUUCUCCGUACCGGCCAUGUUUCGUUUUGUCAUGGUUUAAAUCUUUCCUUAAAAUCAAAGUUUCUCAGACCAACCUCCGUGGUGUGUUAGAUCCGACCUGUUUACUCUUACGUUUCGUGUUCCUCAGAGUGAUCACCUGUCUCCUCUUCGUUUUUAUUCAUAUUAAGAAUAUUAAUCACAGUCAUCUUUUAGUUUUCACUGAUAAUUUAAAAAUAUUUGUUCGUAUUGAUACAAUUGAUUGCUGUAAGCGUUAAAAUCUGAUAUGAAUAACGUUGUAACCCGGUCAAAUUAUUUGUACCUCCAGCUGAACAUUGGCCUUUGCACGUUAUCUUAGACCUCUUAUCUUCAGUUAUGCUAUUAAAGUCUUAAA